Molecule: long non-coding RNA, 497 nt
Filed under: Homo sapiens (human)
Lineage: Eukaryota; Metazoa; Chordata; Mammalia; Primates; Hominidae
Description: HSALNT0359674
Source: RNAcentral
GGAAAAGGGGGAUGGGGAGAGCAACUCGACAGUGGAGAAGCCUGACAAGAACUACCUCAGCCAGGUGAUCAAGCAGCUGUUUGAAAUACAAAUAGAUGAAUGAGGAAAAUCCCCUAUGUUUAAAAUCCACCAUGAAGAGAAAAGCAGGAAGAAGUUCAAGCUAGCCCCUGGGGAUUUUCCCAGGUUCAGUAGAUUGACCUGGAAACAAGGAGUGCAGCUUGAGCUCUUCUUCCUUUAGCAGAACAAGCACUGGUCAGAGAAAUUUCCAAACACAUGGAGCUUAGCGAGACCACCUGCUCCUAACACAGGACAAUGGCCACUGGACCACCAACUCUGUUGCUUCAAGUCAACACCAGCUCUCCUUCACAACAGAUGACAGGCUUUCCGCUAGAAGAGUUUCCCAGUAAAAGAGUGAGCAAAGAAAUGCUAAACUUCACAUCUGCAAUAGAAGCUGAUAAAUGAGAAGUGAAAUGGACAAAUUAAAAAGCUGAAACUGA